UUGCUCAGUCCCAUAAUAUGUAUAUUAAAACUGGAAUCUUAUAGAGAAAAUAAACAUGGCCUCUGCACAAGAAUGUCAGGCAAAUUGAUGAAGUGGCCCUUGUUUUU
Spermophilus dauricus (Daurian ground squirrel) is the source of this 107-nucleotide small nuclear RNA. The record is from Ensembl. NCBI's taxonomy places the organism in Eukaryota, Metazoa, Chordata, Mammalia, Rodentia, Sciuridae.